This 253-nucleotide ribosomal RNA is filed under the name uncultured bacterium. RNAcentral describes it as "partial 16S ribosomal RNA". It matches the Rfam family "Bacterial small subunit ribosomal RNA", at positions 524 to 776 of the family's 1533-position model. The record is from RNAcentral.
UACAGAGGUCCCAAGCGUUGUUCGGAUUCACUGGGCAUAAAGGGUGCGUAGGCGGUCGGGUAAGUCUGAUGUGAAAUCUCACAGCUUAACUGUGAAACUGCAUUGGAUACUAUCCGGCUCGAGGAAUGGAGGGGAGACUGGAAUACUUGGUGUAGCAGUGAAAUGCGUAGAUAUCAAGUGGAACACCAGUGGCGAAGGCGAGUCUCUAGACAUUUCCUGACGCUGAGGCACGAAAGCCAGGGGAGCAAACGGG